CCAAACCAUCUGAAGAAUGAACUGACUGCGUGGACCUCAAACCUCACCCUGGGGUGCCAUCUGCUGGUGGAAAACCAAACAGUAGGCAGUUCCUGAAGUUCAGCUGAAGCAGCAGCCGCUGCUCUGGACAAGAAGCAGAGGAACUUUGACAAGGUCCUGAACGAGUGGAAGCAGAAGUUUGAAGAGUCGCAGAGUGAGCUGGAGGGCUCCCAGAAGGAGGCCAGGUCCCUGAGCACUGAACUCUUCAAGCUGAAGAACGCUUAUGAGGAGUCUCUGGACAAUCUGGAGACUCUGAAGAGGGAGAACAAGAACCUGCAAGAAAUCUCUGGAACAAGAC
Molecule: long non-coding RNA, 337 nt
Organism: Acipenser ruthenus (sterlet)
Lineage: Eukaryota; Metazoa; Chordata; Actinopteri; Acipenseriformes; Acipenseridae
Exons: 4
Source: RefSeq, a predicted model, not a curated record